RNAcentral lists this ribosomal RNA (449 nucleotides) under Streptococcus constellatus. RNAcentral's name for it is "bacterial SSU rRNA". It matches the Rfam family "Bacterial small subunit ribosomal RNA", at positions 39 to 470 of the family's 1533-position model. Lineage: Bacteria; Bacillati; Bacillota; Bacilli; Lactobacillales; Streptococcaceae. The record is from RNAcentral.
GCGGCGUGCCUAAUACAUGCAAGUAGAACGCACAGGAUGCACCGUAGUUUACUACACCGUAUUCUGUGAGUUGCGAACGGGUGAGUAACGCGUAGGUAACCUGCCUGGUAGCGGGGGAUAACUAUUGGAAACGAUAGCUAAUACCGUAUAAGAACAUUUACUGCAUGGUAGAUGUUUAAAAGGUGCAAGAGCAUCACUACCAGAUGGACCUGCGUUGUAUUAGCUAGUUGGUGAGGUAACGGCUCACCAAGGCAACGAUACAUAGCCGACCUGAGAGGGUGAUCGGCCACACUGGGACUGAGACACGGCCCAGACUCCUACGGGAGGCAGCAGUAGGGAAUCUUCGGCAAUGGGGGGAACCCUGACCGAGCAACGCCGCGUGAGUGAAGAAGGUUUUCGGAUCGUAAAGCUCUGUUGUUAAGGAAGAACGUGUGUGAGAGUGGAAAGUU